ACAAUAUACACGUAUGCAUUUAUAAUUUUUUUAAAUCUGUUAAUGAAUUAUUAUAAUUAAAAAACACUAAUAUUUAUCACUAAUCCUAAUUCCCCCCCUUUAACCCUAAUCCCAAAUCAAAAUCAAACUAAACCUAAGAUAAAAUAAGAGAGAAUGUCGAAGAAGGGGAAGGAGUUGGAGAACCAGAGGUGAACGAAGAGGAAGCACGCGAGGUUGAACGGGGAAAGGCGACGGCGGUAGCGGUGGUUAACGAAGUGGAAGCACGCGAGGUUGAAGCACAAGAUGCAGUCUCAGAACCAGAUCCAGAAGUGCGCUAUGGCGAGGAACAACACCCAGAUGCGCGACUCGACCCAGAACACACGAAUCAGUGCUCGUUCGUCCAAUUCCUGCACCCCUUUGCAAGAGAGAAGUUGUGGUUGUGGCAAACAAGUGAUUCUGUACAAAUCCAAUUC
RNAcentral lists this long non-coding RNA (452 nucleotides) under Lotus japonicus. RNAcentral describes it as "long non-coding RNA (LJAP_LNC001492)". The record is from RNAcentral. Lineage: Eukaryota; Viridiplantae; Streptophyta; Magnoliopsida; Fabales; Fabaceae.